GAACAAUCCGAGGGAUCACUCUCACGCUCAUGAGAGUAACCAGAAAACGAACCCCAACAAUGUUCAACUGCCUUGAUCGACAUACCAAACAGCUCACCACAGGUUUGCUUGCUGAAUGGAAAAACAACACUUUAAAGUGUCAUUGAAAUGGGAAGCAAUACAGGCUGGACAAUCACAGAAAGAUGCCUCCUGGAUGACUCCUUGUGGACCUCUGCACUCUAUGCAUCUCAGCAGCUGAAAAGUUACCUGGCUGAGGAUGAGCUGAGCAGAGGCAGACAAGGCAGAGAAGUUGUGUGAGGAUGUGUCCAGUCAUCUCCAUCCAAUCUGUAAGAAAGGACUGAAGCUCGGUGUCAAGGAGCACUGUAAAUCCAUUCAUUU
Long non-coding RNA from Girardinichthys multiradiatus, 378 nucleotides. RefSeq lists it as uncharacterized. Lineage: Eukaryota; Metazoa; Chordata; Actinopteri; Cyprinodontiformes; Goodeidae. The record is from RefSeq and is a predicted model, not a curated record. The transcript is spliced from 3 exons.